GUGAUUGUGGCUCAGUGGCAGAGCACUCACCUACCAGGUGCGGGGCCCUGGGUUCAAUCCUCAGUAUCACA
RNAcentral lists this transfer RNA (71 nucleotides) under Marmota monax (woodchuck). It matches the Rfam family "tRNA". Rfam says of the family: Transfer RNA (tRNA) molecules are approximately 80 nucleotides in length. Their secondary structure includes four short double-helical elements and three loops (D, anti-codon, and T loops). Lineage: Eukaryota; Metazoa; Chordata; Mammalia; Rodentia; Sciuridae. The record is from Rfam by way of RNAcentral.